This 6406-nucleotide long non-coding RNA is filed under the name Sus scrofa (pig). Its description in RNAcentral is "lncRNA (ENSSSCG00025075951.1)". Lineage: Eukaryota; Metazoa; Chordata; Mammalia; Artiodactyla; Suidae. The record is from RNAcentral.
GCAUAUGGAGCUCCCAGGCUAAGGGUUGAAUAGGAGCUGCAGCUGCCAGCCUAUGCCACAGCCACAGCCACAGCCACACAGGAUCCUGAACCAACUGAGUGAGGCCAGGGAUUGAACCCUUGUCCUCAUGGACACUAGUCAGGUUUAUUACCAUGAGCCACCACAGGAAUUCCAUGAUUUUCUUAUUUAUCUUUCCAGCAUAAUGACUAUAUUUUUAUAUUCCUCUAAACAGUUAGGAAAACUGCUUAUUUUUAAUGAAUUAUGAGUGUAAUUUUGAACGGAUAUAUACUUUUAUCAGUAGAACUGCAUCAAGUCAUACUUACCAGAAAAUAAUGAACCAAGUACAAUUCUUUGUAUAGACCCUCCAUUCACAAUGAACUCACUUGGAAAUUAUAAGUUUGGUGAGAUGUCUAUAUUUUGGACAAGAAUUAAAACCCCCUGAGGAAAUGCAUAUUAUCUAUGCAUAAAACAUGUAAAUUUCUCCAGUCAUUGGUAGGCUGAUAGACGAUGGUACAUGCUGAGGCAGAAAACAGAUUGUCAUUGAAAUAUUUCCAAAGACAUAGGUCAGGUAGCAGGGAAACCAGUUAUGUGUGAGAACCUUAAUAUUAGCACCUGCUUCAUUAUGCAGAAAGGAAGCUGGAGCUCUCUCGGAGGUAUGAAGGAGAACAAGGUGAGGCUCCCAGGGCAGGUUCAGCCCUACUGAGGCAACACUCCAGAACGCGGAGUUCACUUAAGGCAGCAAUACUGGGAGAAUGGAGGAUGCACGACUGUCACAAUUUUAAGAAUGGACUUUUAAACAGUUGUCGAUAUUCUAAAAAAAUAGGCUACCUGGACCAUGCUAUAUCUUUUCACACAUUUGUAAAUUUGUUACCAAUCAUAGUCCAGGAGAAGGUAAACUUUAUUCAUUGAUUCACCAACUUUCAUUAUGUAAUUCCCUGUGCUACAUGCUGGGAACAUAGCAGUGAAUCUGAAAACAAGGCUUAUCAUCUGUUAAAGAAAACAGAUAUAAAACUAUUCAUUACACAAUUAUUAUCGUGGCACAUAUAACAAAGAAGAGAGGCAGGUAGGAGCAUGUUAUGUUUCAAAGUUGAGACAACCAAUGUGGCUCCUUUCAUCCAACAAAGAGAAGUUAUGCUAGAGUAGGUUUGCUAAGAUAAUCAGGAGGCUGGAUUAUUUAGGGCAUUAGAAGACAUAUUAUAUGUCUUCUUUUUUUUUGUAUUUUUAGGACUGCACCUGCUACAUAUGGAGGUUCCCAGGCUAGGGGUCAAAUCAGAGCUGUAGCUGCUAGCCUACGCUGUAGCCACAGCAAUGCCAGAUCCGAGUGACAUCUGCAACCUAAACCAUAGCUCAUGGCAAUGCCAGAUCCUUUAUCCACUGAGUGAGGCCAGGGAAUGAACCUGCAUCCUCAUUUAUACUAGUCAGAUUCAUUUCAGCUGAGCCACGAUGGGAACUCCGUAUUACAUAUCUUAAGCUUUUAACAAGGGGAUAAUAUGAUCUUACUUGCAAUUAUAGAUCACAUUGGAUUCUGGUUAAAAAUAGAUUCAAGGGAAAAAAGAAUAGAUCCUAGGGUAUCAGUCAGAAGGCUCUGGCAGUAUCCAAGUGAAAAUGAUUGUGGUUAGGUACAGAAUGAUAAUAGUAGAUACGAAUAAAAUUAAAAACCAUAAGAAAGAGUAAGAGUUAAAACUGAAGUAAUUCGGUGAGAGAUUAAAUGUAGAGAGUGAAUGAGAGUGGAGAUGAUAUCCUUGUCUCUCUUUGGUGGCAGUGCCAUUUACUGAGGUAGAUUAUACUACAAAAAAAUUAGUUCAGUUUUAUAUGUGCUAUAUGUAAGAUACCCAUAAAAUAUCCAAGUAGAGAGACUGAGAUGGAUGUUGGACACAGUCUUAGAAGUCAGAAAAGAGGUCUGUGUUGAAAGUGUAUAUUUGGAAAUUGCUUCUUUCCAAAUGGUUGAAAACUUGGGAAUAGAUGAGUUUGCUUGCAGAUAAUGAUAGAAAGAAGGAGGAGGAGGAGCAGAAGGAGGAGGAAAGGAUUGAAGGAAGAAGGAUGAAGGAAGAAGAGUAUGAUGGGGGUGGUCUUGUUCAAUGCCUUAGGGAAUUCUUAACAUCUCAAGCUUGGAGGAAGAAGAUAAGAUACUAAGUCUGAGAAAUGGUAGCCAAAGAAGUGAGAGGAGAAAAAUGCGAGAAGGCAGUGACUCUAAAUCAAGGGAAGUGAAUAUAUCAAGAAGAAACUGUAAUUAACGUCAAAAGGUGAUGAGCAGUUGAAGAAGAUACAGCCCUUAUUCCAUUAUCUGUCAAUCCUAUGCAAGAUGGUUCAUGUGCAUGGCCAGCUAGGUGGUGCUAGCUUUCAACUGGAAACUCAGAACGAUCACUGGGAAUCCUCAGUUCUUUCCCACAUGAACCAUUCCAUGGGGACAGUUUGGGCACCCUCAUACCAUGGCAACCAGCUCAAUCAGCAAGCAUUCCAAGAUAAAGGAAGUUUUCUAAUGUCUGAGCCCAGAAAAUGGUACAAUCUCAUCUCUACUAUAAUCUAUUGGUCAAGCAAUCAUGUUAUUCACUAAGAUUGACAACUGUGAUUCACCAUUCAUUCAAGGGAAUGAGACAGACCAUGCUUUUUGAAAGAGGACUGUCAGAAAUCAUGACAUCUUUAAUCUACCACAAACCUCAAUAUUUUAUUAUAUAAUCCUUAUCAUUGUAACAUGUUUUCUAAGCAGAAAAGAUUGAAAAUAACCUAAAAAUCCAUCACUGAGAUUAAAUUACUUAAAUUAUCUUAUGUAAAUAAUCAUUUAAGUUAAAUUAAUUUAAAUUUAUAAAAUUACAUACUAUGCAACUACUAAAAACAAUGGGGAUACUUUUAAUAAAAUACUAUAAAAUGUUAUCAUGAGAUAUUUUGAGUCAAAAAAGCAAAAGUUAGUAUGUAUAUAGUAUGUUAUCAUUUGUGCAAAAGGAGGGAAAUAAAAUACAUUUGUAUUUACCUGUAUAAGCAUAAAACACAUAUGGAAUAUGCAUUCUCAGUGGGGUGCUAUCACCCCCAAAAGGGCAAAAAUUAGUUCUUGUGUGGGAGGAGUCUUAAUGUUUCUAUGUGUAAAGCACAAUUACAUAUAGAGUGCAAAAAAGAUACACAAUAUACCUGUGUAUUCAAAUUAAGGGGGGGCAAUAAUUUGGAAAAAAAAUGCCUUUGAGGGCUCUUUAGAUGAUGGAAAAAAGGUUGAGAAAUACUCUUUUUGAAAGAUAUACAGCAAUGAGUUCAUAUGGUUGCUUGCAAGAACAGAAAUGAGUACUGGGAGGAGAAAGUGAUGAGACUAAGAGCAUUCAGAGUAUGCUCUCUCAUAUUUUUGAUAUUAGAACCAUGGGAAGAUAGUAUCUAUCAAAAUUUAAAUUAAAAAAUAAAAUUUAAAAAGAAGGUAAUCAUUUUUAAUUAUAUGGUAUUACUGAAUAGAAGCUCUUUCAGCAUAGGUUAAAGUAUAUAAAAUCUUGAAGUUUUGAAAGACUAGUCUGGGCAAGGAAUUAAUUUCACUUAGUUAUCUUGACUAUUCAAAGGAAAAGCUGGUAGAGCGGCAUUUUAUGUAAAACAUUAAAAGUCAAUUAUUAAUACAUAUUCAAGGUAAACUGUUUUGAAAGACAGGUUGUGUGGGUACCUGUUUCAUUCUGAAGGGACAGAGAGUGUGAAGGACCCAGGGGUGUGAAGGACCACAGUCAUUCUCUGAAUGCUGAAAUGUUCCCUCCUUCACACUCCAGGAUGGGAGAAGCAGCUCUAAGAUUUACAGAGGUAGAUGUAAUGUGAACAAUAAAAGUCCUUAGCAACAUUUAGAUUCAUAGGAAAAUUUUUUACAUGUACCAACGCCACAACCGACACUACAGAAGUAUAUAGCCAGGGUAAAUGCUUGGCAAUCUUCUUCUAGCUGGACACACCCAUAUGGAAAACUGGCCAAAUAAACAUGUACUUGCUCUAAUCUCUGUUCCUUACCACUGAAAAUCCACAGUAGGGUUGUAGCUCUUGGACUGCUGAAGUCACCAGGGGAUGAGCAAAUUAGACUUGACCUUGGUAUGUGAAUGACGGCAUGGAUCAUUGGGAGCUGGACCAUGUCCUAGUAAGAGAAUCAGCCUCGCCCAGUGUUGCAAGCAGCAGCCAACGGCAGAGGCCACAUGGUGCUAUGUUGCCACUAUGACCAAUACAGGGCAGACUGGAAGGAUAAGGAGGAGACUUGGAAGCACUAAAUAGUUACGGCUUUAGUCUAAUACGGGCCUUUCAAAACACUGUGAUCUAAUAUCAAAUUUUUUAAAUUACUCAAUGAAUUUUAUUACAUUUAUAGUUGUACAAUGAUCAUCACAACCCAAUUUUAUAGCAUUUCUUUGAUGAAACUGAAUUAAUUACAUGGAAAUUCCACAGAGAGUACGUGGCUAUGAUGCACUGAAAAUAAUUUCAGAAGUCCACUUAGACCAUCCAACAUCUCCUAAAUUUAUUCCUAGGUCACAUCAAGUGCAACUCCAAUUGCAAGUGCCCUUCCGAAAAGAAUGUGAAUACAGGUGGUGCAGCCUAAACCGUAAGUUCUGUUCAACAAUGCAUAAAAGCAAAUGCCAAAAAUCACCAGGGGAUAUGCAGCUACUCCUUGCCAACUCUGCAUGUACUCCAUUGCCGAGAAAUUUAGCUCUCUUUUGGGUUUCUCUAUGAACACUCACAUAUGAGUUGUUAGAAAGAGAAUGGUGGUUAAUUCUCACUAAACUACUCUGGUGGUCUUAACAGAAUGCCAUACACUAGGUGGCUUAACAACAGUCUAGAAACUGAAGUCUGAAAUCAGGAUACCAACAUGGUCAAGUUCUGGUGAGAAUUCUCUUCCUGUCUUGCAAAUGGCUACCUUCAUGCUAUAUGCUCACAUGGCCUUUUUCUCAGUGUGUGUGUGAGGGGACUUUCUCUUCCUACAAGCCCACCAAUCCCAUUGGAUUAGGACCCUGCCCUUAUGACCUCAUUUAACCUAAUCUCCAAAUACAGUCAAAUUAGGGAUUAAGGCUUCAACAUAUAGAUUUGUGGGGGGGCAGGGGGGGCGGGGGGUAGGGUCCCAAUUCAGUCCAUGGCAUCUAUACACAAAUAAGAAAUAUUCCAACAUCAAGAACAAAAAUUUUGGUUGACAAUUAGGUUAAAAAUGACAUAAGAAGAGCUUGGAAAUAGAACCAUCAAUUCAGAAAACAAAACAAAACGCAAAAUAUGGCACCCUUAUCUGAUACUACAUGCUCCUCUAAUGAUAAAAAUGCAUCUUGGCCCUAUGGCAAUGACUUUUUCCUUUAAACUGAGGCAACAGCCACAUAAUAAACUUCUCAAGUUAAACCUUUUAAAAGUGUAUAAUUCAGUAACUUUUAGUACACAUACAAUGUUGUACAACCACCACCAUUAUCUGAUUCGGGAACAUUUUUAUCAUUCAGAAAAGAAAUUCUGUACCUGUUAAGGAGUCACUCUCCAAUGCCCCAACCCAAGUCCCUAGUAUGCAUUUUUUAACCUUAAGGAAAGAAAGUUACAAAGGUGUACUUAUUCUUUACACUGAGGAAAAAAAGAAAAAAGAAAGGCACCAUUUUAAUGGCUAUUGCUACCACUAACUCAGAGAGUUUAUAACAUAGAGUACUGAGUCUUUGUGUUAUUUUGUCAUAGAAAGGACAAUUUCUAGAACUUCAUAGAAACAUGGAGUCAGAGAUCAUGAAGAGAAUCUCUGUUUCUGGGAAGUUCCCCUGUGGCUCAGAGGGUUAAGGAUCCAGUACUAUCACAGCUGUGGUGCAGGCAGCAACUGUAGCACAGGUUCGAUCCCUGGCCUAGAAACUUCCAUAAGCCAUAGGUGGUGGGGAGGGGAGAGGUGACAAAGCCAAAAAAAAGAAAAAAAGAAAAAAAAAGGAAAAGGGGAUCUCUGUUUCCAACAUAUCUCUAAACACAUAAUACUAAACAGCCGAAAAAAAAGUUAGGGAUAUCAUGUCCUCACACACACUUCUCUACAAAGAGACAGAUUUUUGUUGAAAUAUGUUUAAGAAAUUCUAAAUCAGACUGUUAACAGAUUUCUUUGCCAAGCAAAAAGGAUGGAUACAGAACCAACAGGGAGGUUUUGUUUUUUUAUUUUAAUUAUCAGGGUAGAACACCAGUUGCAACCUGGUGGUUUUUCACAGCAAAUGGACCAAAGACACAGAUGGGUUUUUAUUUUUCAAAGAAAUUGAACCAAUAAUGUAAUAUUUGUAAAUUUUAUACAAAAUGUAUAGACUUCCAGCUUCACUUUAAAAAUACUAGGUUUGAGUUCCCGUUGUGAUGCAACAGAUACAAAUCUGACUAGUGUCCAUAAGGAUUUGGGUUCCAUCUCUGGCCUCGCUCAGUGGAUCAGGGAUCAGGCAUUGCCGUGAGCUGUGGAGUAGGUUGCAGACACAGCUUGGAUCCCGAGUUG